Electrophorus electricus (electric eel) is the source of this 127-nucleotide non-coding RNA. NCBI's taxonomy places the organism in Eukaryota, Metazoa, Chordata, Actinopteri, Gymnotiformes, Gymnotidae. The record is from RefSeq and is a predicted model, not a curated record.
CGCGGAAACCAGCUGUCUGUAGAUUUGCAUGCUAUAAUGCUGGCAGAAAGUGUCUAAUGGAUUCAUAUAGCGAUCAACAGAGCGAGGAUGGGAAUACGCAUCAGAUACCCUAAACUGUUUCUGCUCC